This is a long non-coding RNA of Varroa destructor (honeybee mite), 1538 nucleotides long. RefSeq lists it as uncharacterized. NCBI's taxonomy places the organism in Eukaryota, Metazoa, Arthropoda, Arachnida, Mesostigmata, Varroidae. The record is from RefSeq and is a predicted model, not a curated record.
CGGGCUGACUCUUGCGUUGCAAAUUGUCAAUUCCCUGCAUGGCAAAUGUGAUUUUGUUAAGUGUACCGUACGAUGUGGCGUCAGCGUCGUCCUUCUUGUCGUAAACGAACGCCGCCAAAUAGUUCGACUAGAUCUAGUUUCGGCGACCAAUGAACGUAGUGUGCUUAGUCAGGAACGAGACAGCUUGUUCUACGAGAGGGGCCGUUCAGUCGUCAGCUAGCGCACGUAACGCGUAACGAUCAAUAACUCAUCUUGAUGCUCGCAGGCUAUCGACAAAUGUCUAAAUGGCCAGUCAAAUGGCCUAAUUCAACCACCUUCUGUCGGCUUGAUACUACGCGGAAAUUGCCGUAAACGAAAUCCACUGCCGUCCUGCUACGGAACCCGGUUACGCCAAGUGGACCGUGCAUUGUGGAAGCACAAAUGUCUUCGUGGCAUGAAUCUGAGCAUAUCUCGUCACGUUUCAGUACACAAGCGAGACAUGUGCAGAUUUCCCUAUGGCUAUGGUUUUUGUAUGUGUCGCCAGCAUCGAUGCUGACAUCCUGUCUAAGAUUUGCGCUUGACCCCGUGGCACAAUUUACUGGAGAUAGCUGAAAAAUCAAGCGAUUUGCUCGAGUUUAUUACAUUAAGUCAUUACCUCUAUCAGACCUCAACCGAAAUACUCGUGUAUUUCGGUGAUGAUAAUAACGACAUAAGUGUCGAAAUGUGUGGCGCUGUGAACGCGUAUUUAACUGGCUAAAACAGUAACAUUGUCGAAUGUCUUGUAGGUGAAGUAUAAAUUCUGGCCCUCGGAAACUUCAUAAUGCACGAAUCAUCGAAUUAUUCGAUGCAGUAUAAUAAACAGUAUUUAAAUCUAAUAUAUAAGUACAUCACUCGCCAACAUUCACUUGAAACACCCAAAACUACAUGCUACAUGGGAACAGAUGCUAAUUAUUAAACGUCCUCUUUUCGCUUCGAUUUAUCUUACACCUGAUCAGUAACAUUUUCAUAGAGUUAUCGUCUUGCUGGAAAUUUACAAAAACUUUAGAACGAAAUGCGCCAGUUCACAAUAGUCUACAACCAACUUAUUCUCCAGCGCUAAUUAGCAAACAAAACGAUUAUGACCUUACGUAAGGCACCUCGUACUUCUGGACCUUUUCUAACUCAUCGCGUUUGAUAUUUCUCAAGUAGGAUUCAUUAUUCCCUCCAAGCGAAAACGAACUUCUAUAGCUGUACAUACACGUAAAGAGCAUGUGCAAAUACAGGCAAAAUCGUACGUCACAUAUUAAAUACAGCUGUUUCAGUUUUAAAGGAUCUUAAAGGUAAACGUCAUAAAAAGAUACAAAAUUUAUACGAGCCAAACUAAUCCAUAAUGUAUAUUGCAGACUGUAAUUGCGACCCCAAUAUAUAUAUAGUGGCUAUCAAAUCUAACAAGUAGAACUUGGAUUAACCAAUGCUGGAGUCCAGAGCCAUAAGCAUAUUAUUAGUAAUGACCAAAAAAGGCUAGUCGUCUACAUCGACCUUUAAAAUGAGAUUUUUUAGAAAAGAUUUGCGAGUUCUAC